RNAcentral lists this unclassified non-coding RNA (234 nucleotides) under plant metagenome. RNAcentral's name for it is "partial contains small subunit ribosomal RNA, internal transcribed spacer 1, and 5.8S ribosomal RNA". The record is from RNAcentral.
UUUCCGUAGGUGAACCUGCGGAAGGAUCAUUAAAGUUAUAGUCCCCCGGCACUCUGGGCUGGGGUCUUCUAUACCACCCUUUGUUUAUUACACCUUUGUUGCUUUGGCAGGCCUGCCCUCGGGCUGCUGGCACCGGCCGGCUCGCGUCUGCCAGAGGACCUAAACUCUGUUUGUAUAUGAAGUCUGAGUACUAUAUAAUAGUUAAAACUUUCAACAACGGAUCUCUUGGUUCUG